This 358-nucleotide transfer-messenger RNA is filed under the name Gammaproteobacteria (g-proteobacteria). RNAcentral describes it as "J048 sp003695825 Standard tmRNA". It matches the Rfam family "transfer-messenger RNA". Rfam says of the family: Bacterial tmRNA, also known as 10Sa RNA or SsrA, is named for its dual tRNA and mRNA-like properties. Its role is to liberate the mRNA from a stalled ribosome. To accomplish this part of the tmRNA is used as a reading frame that ends in a translation stop signal. RNAcentral also lists the same sequence under 1 other name. Lineage: Bacteria; Pseudomonadati; Pseudomonadota. The record is from RNAcentral.
GGGGGCGACCUGGUUUCGACGUGGGUCGCGAAACCUGCAGGUGCAUGCCGAGGUGCAGUACCUCGUAAAACCACUGCAAGCGAAAUAGUUGCCAACGACGACAACUACGCUCUGGCUGCCUGAUCCAGCCAGCCUCUGACUGACUCCGUGCCUGUGCGGGUCAGGUUCCAGAGGUCAUCCAUCACAGGCUCGCACCGAGGCACGUCCGGGGCCGAGGUGUCAGAUCCCGGAUCCGGACUGGCUGUCCGACUUCCCCGUCUGCCGGGCAGCGGGCAGCGAGACCAAUAGGCAGACUAAGCAUGUAGAUCCUCAGGCGGAGGAUCCACGGACGCGGGUUCGAUUCCCGCCGCCUCCACCA